This 223-nucleotide ribosomal RNA is filed under the name Exaiptasia diaphana. Its description in RNAcentral is "partial 28S ribosomal RNA". It matches the Rfam family "Eukaryotic large subunit ribosomal RNA", at positions 44 to 260 of the family's 3401-position model. The record is from RNAcentral. Lineage: Eukaryota; Metazoa; Cnidaria; Anthozoa; Actiniaria; Aiptasiidae.
UAAUAAGCGGAGGAAAAGAAACUAACAAGGAUUCCCCCAGUAACGGCGAGUGAAACGGAAGAGCUCAAAUUUGAAAUCGCCGUUGCCUUGCAACGGCGACUUGUAGUUUCGAGAAGCGCUUUCUCGGUGUGCAUCGGACGCGUCCAAGUUGCCUGGAACGGUGCGUCAAGGAGGGUGACAACCCCGUCCACGGCGCGUUCGGCCGCCAACGAUGCGCUUUCCA